GAUGAACGCUGGCGGCGUGCCUAAUACAUGCAAGUCGAGCGAACGGACGAGAAGCUUGCUUCUCUGAUGUUAGCGGCGGACGGGUGAGUAACACGUGGAUAACCUACCUAUAAGACUGGGAUAACUUCGGGAAACCGGAGCUAAUACCGGAUGAUAUUUUGAACCGCAUGGUUCAAAAGUGAAAGACGGUCUUGCUGUCACUUAUAGAUGGAUCCGCGCUGCAUUAGCUAGUUGGUAAGGUAACGGCUUACCAAGGCAACGAUGCAUAGCCGACCUGAGGGGGUGAUCGGCCACACUGGAGCGGAGACACGGUCCAGACUCCUACGGGAGGCAGCAGUAGGGAAUCUUCCGCAAUGGGCGAAAGCCUGACGGAGCAACGCCGCGUGAGUGAUGAAGGUCUUCGGAUCGUAAAACGCUGUUAUUAGGGAAGAACAUAUGUGUAAGUCACUGUGCACAUCUGGACGGUACCUAAGCAGAAAGCCACGGCUAACUACGU
This 496-nucleotide ribosomal RNA is filed under the name uncultured bacterium. Its description in RNAcentral is "partial 16S ribosomal RNA". It matches the Rfam family "Bacterial small subunit ribosomal RNA", at positions 28 to 506 of the family's 1533-position model. The record is from RNAcentral.